AUGUCAGAAGAUGAGCCCCCAGGUCGGAAGGUGCCCAAAUAUGCUAUUGGUGAAGGAGGGAGGGCAAUUACCAUUAAUAAUAGCUCCACCGCCUCGCGCCCGCCCACGAGCGGCCCGCGCGCCCGGCAGCCGCAGCCNAAGGCACCAGGAAUGAACAGCCUGGAGCAGGGCAUGGUGGGCCUGAAGAUUGGGGACGUCACCACCUCUGCGGUCAAGACGGUAGGGUCAGUCGUCAGCAGUGUGGCCAUGACGGGCAUCCUUUCCGGCAAUGGUGGGACCAAUGUGCCCCUGCCGGUAUCAAAGCCGACCUCAUGGGCUGCCAUUGCCAGCAAACCUGCCAAACCACAACCGAAAAUGAAGGCCAAGAGUGGGCCUGCCAUCGGGGGGGCGCUGCCCCCGCCACCUAUUAAACAUAAUAUGGACAUUGGUACUUGGGACAACAAGGGGUCUGUGCCCAAAGCCCCGGCCCCCCAGCAGGUGCCAGCCUCCUCGGUGGCCCCCCAGCCCCAGCCGGCCAUGCAGCCUCUUCCCGCCCAACCUCCCCUUCCAGCCCCACCACAACACACGGCCCCCCAGCAGCUGCCCCAGACCCGCUGGGUUGCCCCUCGCAGCAGAAAUGCGGCGUUUGGGCAGACCGGGGGCCCCAGCAGUGACAGUAACUCCCCUGGGAGCGCCCAGCCCAGCACGACCCUGAGCGCAGAGUCCCACCCCGUCUUAGAAAAACUGAAAGCCGCUCACAGUUACAACCCCAAGGAGUUUGACUGGAACCUGAAGAGCGGGCGCGUGUUCAUCAUCAAGAGUUACUCGGAGGAUGACGUGCACCGCUCUAUCAAGUAUUCGCUCUGGUGUAGCACGGAGCAUGGCAACCGGCGCCUGGACAGUGCCUUCCGUGCCCUGGGCAGCAAGGGGCCUGUCUACCUGCUCUUCAGCGUCAAUGGCAGUGGCCAUUUCUGCGGGGUGGCUGAGAUGAAGUCGCCUGUGGACUACGGCACCAGCGCCGGGGUCUGGUCCCAGGACAAGUGGAAGGGCAAGUUCGACGUGAAGUGGAUCUUCGUGAAGGACGUGCCCAACAGUCAGCUGCGGCACAUCUGACUGGAAAACAACGACAACAAGCCGGUCACCAACUCGCGUGACACCCAAGAGGUACCCCUGGAGAAGGCGCGCCUGGUGCUGCGGCUCACCGCCUCCUACAGGCACAGCACUUCGACGACUUUUCCCACUCUGAGAGGCGCCAGGAGGGGGAGGAGGUGGUGCGCAAGCAACGGCAGAGUCGAAGCAAGCAGUGAGGGCGCAGCAGGCUCUCGUGCC
Non-coding RNA from Odocoileus virginianus texanus, 1308 nucleotides. The record is from RefSeq and is a predicted model, not a curated record. NCBI's taxonomy places the organism in Eukaryota, Metazoa, Chordata, Mammalia, Artiodactyla, Cervidae.